GCAGCGAUGAAAAAAAAUAUACGAUUGAGGAUACUUUUGCUGGUUUGCCGUGACAAUAGUGGCGAUCGACGACAGUAUUGUCGUUGGCUAUCAGCAGGUGAGACCAUCUGGAUUUGAGCCAAAAUGGUCUUUGUGAGAUCAGUUCACAAUUGUUUGUUUGUUUGGUUUUUAAAAAGUUGUAAUACGCCGUACAUGAUUUGAAACGAUAAAAAAAUAACGUAUAAAAUACGGGGAAAACGUAAACGUUGACAGGUAUGGAUUUACAAAAGGAUUUUGAUGACAUCCACCGCACAUAUACAGAAUUUGUCGGCCUGCACCUGGAUCAAAUCCACCAAAAUUGUGUUACGCCACCUGCGCCACAACUUAGACCCGGUUUCACCCGGUCUAAAAUCGAGUUUACUUUCCGUCGCCAAAUUGUCGGCAGCACGGUGGACUUGUAAUGGAAAACGGCAUAAUUCCCUGCGAUGUCAAGCCAAAUUACCAAACCCCGUCAACUCGACUUCCCCCUGGCACAAAAAUGAAGACGCACCAGUUCUUACAUCGAGCACGCGUGCGCCUGUGUACGAAAAUAGAGCACCCGAGGCUUUCCAUUGUCAUCUGUGCCAUAAUGAUUUUUUUUUUUUAAUGUAUUACUUGAGUGACACAGAAACAGAGAAAGCAGCAUGUUUGCCUCGGCCCGGGUUAUUAUGAACAACCUUGAAAGCAGUUUGCAUUCAAAAGGGAAAUCUUUUGCUACGUUUGUUUUUCCUCAUAAAGCUUGACACCAGAAUGUAGCAGGGUUUUUUUUUUACCCGCUUCCGUCCCUCUCGCAUUUUGCUUACUCGGCCCUUUUCUGGUGAGCGACAUAACCUCCAGCCCUCAUAGGGAGCUUCACCGAAAUGGCAAUAAAACACACGGAUUGUUCACUCGUCUCUUUAAAUGUGUACAGUGCAGCGAAAAAGUAGUUGGCUUCUUUUUUCUUUUGCAUUGUUUCCUCACUUUAAUAUUGUCGUUCAUCAAGUACAUGUCGAUAUCAAAGAUGUCAAAGUAAACAUCAAAUGCUGUUUUGAAACGAUUCCUUUUUCCACACAAGGGCCAGCAGGUAGCUUGGAAUUGUGUUUUCAUUUUUUUUUCCGACAUAAACAGAAUCCCAAUUUUAAAACUGCAUUUCCUGUUUGUACAUUUGUUUGAUCAUCCAAAAUAUUCAAGUGGAGAAACGACCAAAAUAAGAAUUUUAGGAGGAAAAUACUUUUUCAUGCCACUGUAUAUUAACUGUAUGGAUUAUUUUUGUCCUCACCUUUCUAUUUGUGUGCGUGCGUGCGUGUGUGUGUGUGUGUGUGUACAGUUUUUUUCUCCAUCAACAUCACGUUCUUUGUCGGGAUCUCAGGUCAGCGCCGGUGAGCGCGUGAAACAGUGUCGCAUUUUGUUGUCUUCACCAAAGUGUUUUGGUCACCACAUCGCACACUGCGGCGUUGUUCUCUUGCAACAAAUGUCAUGAACUCACGCAGUGUCACGUUUUGGCCUUAGCGUUUUUAAUCAGGGAAGAAGGCCGCGCCGUGCUUUGUCCUCAACAUUUGUGAGCAGGAUGCACCCCGUGGCCCGUUUUGUCGUCAACCGUUUGCAUCACCAUUUUUGGUCCUCUGCAUGGUGGAUGACAAAACAACGGCGCGUCGUCUUUGUCUUCAACGGGUUUUGUCACCAACAAAAUCCAGGGGUUGUGCUUUUUUUUUUCUUUUGGGUGACAAUUCUUAUUUAAUCACGACAUGAUGUCUUUCACAUGGUUGGUCAUAAAACAGUGCAGGAUCAUGUUUUGUACUCAACAUUUUUUUUUUGCUUUAUCACAAAAGUAUGCAUUGUCAUGUUUUGUCCUUGAUGCCUUUUUGUGCACUGAAAAAAGUUGAGCGGGUUUUGUCUUGAACAAACUUUUGGAUGCCAAAGUCCGCUGGCAUGUUUCGUCUUGAUCAAAUGUUUUGAUUACACAAGGUUUUUUUUUUUUUGUCUUUUCUUUUGUUGUUCUCAACAACCCUGUUGAUCAGAAAAAUGGAUGGUCACAUUUCCUCUUCAACAACUUCCUUGAUCUAUUGUCAUGUUGUCCUCAAUAUUUUUGGAGAUGGAACAAUGCAUGGUCAUGGAUUUUUUUUUUAAAUGACCCAAUGCAUCAUGUUCUACCUUCAGCAAACUUUUUGUUGACAAAAUCCAUUGUGUUUUAUCUACGGCAAAGUUUUUGAUGUCGAAAUGCAUUGUCCUGGUGUACAAACUUCCUGAUGACUCACAGCAUGAUCAUUUUUGACGGUUGACAAACUUUUUGAUGACGAAAAGCAAUCGCGUUUUACCCCCCUACAAAUUUCAAGGACAAAAUGGAUUGUUUUACCUCGAGCAAACUUUUUGCUGACAAAAUCCAUCAUGGUGUAUUGUCUUCAUGGACCCCUUGAAGACAACGGUGCCUUGUCAUGUUUUUGAAGGUCAACCGCCUUCAUCGCGUAUCGUCUUCAGGGACCUUCUGAAGACCAAACGAUCCAUUGUGGUACGAUUCCUAUGAGUGAUCUUCCACCUUUAUGCGAGUGUCCUCAGGCGCUGUCCACUUGACAAAUUUGUUUACCCGUGUAUGGACUUUUUAUUUUAUUUUUUAUUCUUUUAUCGCUGUUCUUGGGGGAGAGUGCAGGCUCCAAACGUGUUCUGCAAUGCUGUGGUCUUUGUACACAAUUAGUCUGUUACACAAUAACGUCAGCUUCCACUGAAAAAUACAACACCUACACACCCCCAUCAUUUUU
Hippocampus comes (tiger tail seahorse) is the source of this 2750-nucleotide long non-coding RNA. RefSeq lists it as uncharacterized. The transcript is spliced from 2 exons. The record is from RefSeq and is a predicted model, not a curated record. Lineage: Eukaryota; Metazoa; Chordata; Actinopteri; Syngnathiformes; Syngnathidae.